Molecule: ribosomal RNA, 460 nt
Filed under: uncultured bacterium
Lineage: Bacteria
Description: partial 16S ribosomal RNA
Rfam family: Bacterial small subunit ribosomal RNA
Source: RNAcentral
CCUACGGGAGGCAGCAGUGAGGAAUAUUGGUCAAUGGGCGUAAGCCUGAACCAGCCAAGUCGCGUGAGGGAUGAAUGUUCUAUGGAUCGUAAACCUCUUUUAUAAGGGAAUAAAGUGCGGGACGUGUCCCUUUUUGUAUGUACCUUAUGAAUAAGGAUCGGCUAACUCCGUGCCAGCAGCCGCGGUAAUACGGAGGAUCCGAGCGUUAUCCGGAUUUAUUGGGUUUAAAGGGUGCGUAGGCGGCCUUUUAAGUCAGCGGUGAAAGUUUGUGGCUCAACCAUAGAAUUGCCGUUGAUACUGGGAGGCUUGAGUACGGUUGAGGCAGGCGGAAGGCGUGGUGUAGCGGUGAAAUGCUUAGAUAUCACGCAGAACCCCGAUUGCGAAGGCAGCCUGCCAAGCCAUGACUGACGCUGAUGCACGAAAGCGUGGGGAUCAAACAGGAUUAGAUACCCGAGUAGUC